GGCCUAUGAUGUACACAAUUGCACGUAUUAUCAGACGUGGUUAUGAUGAAAUCUCAAAUUGUCACUACCUCUGAGGCC
Molecule: small nucleolar RNA, 78 nt
Organism: Neltuma alba
Lineage: Eukaryota; Viridiplantae; Streptophyta; Magnoliopsida; Fabales; Fabaceae
Product: small nucleolar RNA snoR122
Exons: 1
Source: RefSeq, a predicted model, not a curated record